RNAcentral lists this transfer RNA (76 nucleotides) under Actinomycetes bacterium. RNAcentral describes it as "Actinobacteria bacterium (groundwater metagenome) tRNA-Met". It matches the Rfam family "tRNA". Rfam says of the family: Transfer RNA (tRNA) molecules are approximately 80 nucleotides in length. Their secondary structure includes four short double-helical elements and three loops (D, anti-codon, and T loops). Further hydrogen bonds mediate the characteristic L-shaped molecular structure. tRNAs have two regions of fundamental functional importance: the anti-codon, which is responsible for specific mRNA codon recognition, and the 3' end, to which the tRNAs corresponding amino acid is attached (by aminoacyl-tRNA synthetases). tRNAs cope with the degeneracy of the genetic code in two manners: having more than one tRNA (with a specific anti-codon) for a particular amino acid; and 'wobble' base-pairing, i.e. permitting non-standard base-pairing at the 3rd anti-codon position. The record is from RNAcentral. Lineage: Bacteria; Bacillati; Actinomycetota; Actinomycetes. RNAcentral also lists the same sequence under 1 other name.
GGCGGUGUAGCUCAGCGGUUAGAGCACACGGUUCAUACCCGUGAGGCCACUGGUUCGAAUCCAGUCACCGCUACCA